This 492-nucleotide ribosomal RNA is filed under the name uncultured bacterium. RNAcentral describes it as "partial 16S ribosomal RNA". It matches the Rfam family "Bacterial small subunit ribosomal RNA", at positions 30 to 507 of the family's 1533-position model. The record is from RNAcentral.
AUUGAACGCUGGCGGUAGGCCUAACACAUGCAAGUCGAACGGCAGCACAGUAAUAGCUUGCUCUUACGGGUGGCGAGUGGCGGACGGGUGAGGAAUACAUCGGAAUCUACUUUUUCGUGGGGGAUAACGUAGGGAAACUUACGCCAAUACCGCAUACGACCUACGUGUGAAAGCAGGGGAUCUUCGGACCUUGCGCGAUUGAAUGAGGCGAUGUCGGAUUAGCUAGUUGGCGGGGUAAAGGCCCACCAAGGCGACGAUCCGUAGCUGGUCUGAGAGGAUGAUCAGCCACACUGGAACUGAGACACGGUCCAGACUCCUACGGGAGGCAGCAGUGGGGAAUAUUGGACAAUGGGCGCAAGCCUGAUCCAGCCAUACCGCGUGGGUGAAGAAGGCCUUCGGGUUGUAAAGCCCUUUUGUUGGGAAAGAAAAGCAGCAGGUUAAUACCCCGCUGUUCUGACGGUACCCAAAGAAUAAGCACCGGCUAACUUCGUG